RNAcentral lists this ribosomal RNA (220 nucleotides) under uncultured bacterium. RNAcentral's name for it is "partial 16S ribosomal RNA". It matches the Rfam family "Bacterial small subunit ribosomal RNA", at positions 524 to 748 of the family's 1533-position model. The record is from RNAcentral.
UACGGAGGGUGCGAGCGUUGUCCGGAAUCACUGGGCGUAAAGGGCGCGUAGGCGGCGCGGAUAGUCGGCGGUGAAAGCCCGGAGCUCAACUCCGGGUCGGCCGUCGAUACUUCCGGGCUUGAGCACUGUAGAGGCAGAUGGAAUUCCGGGUGUAGCGGUGGAAUGCGUAGAGAUCCGGAAGAACACCGACGGCGCAGGCACGUCCUGGGCCCGCUUGCUA